This 576-nucleotide ribosomal RNA is filed under the name uncultured bacterium. Its description in RNAcentral is "partial 16S ribosomal RNA". It matches the Rfam family "Bacterial small subunit ribosomal RNA", at positions 355 to 932 of the family's 1533-position model. The record is from RNAcentral.
UGGGGAAUUUUGGACAAUGGGCGAAAGCCUGAUCCAGCAAUGCCGCGUGUGUGAAGAAGGCCUUCGGGUUGUAAAGCACUUUUGUCCGGAAAGAAAUCCUUGGCUCUAAUACAGUCGGGGGAUGACGGUACCGGAAGAAUAAGCACCGGCUAACUACGUGCCAGCAGCCGCGGUAAUACGUAGGGUGCAAGCGUUAAUCGGAAUUACUGGGCGUAAAGCGUGCGCAGGCGGUUGCUAAGACCGAUGUGAAAUCCCGGGCUCAACCUGGGAACUGCAUGGUGACUGGCAGGCUAGAGUAUGGCAGGAGGGGGGUAGAAUUCCACGUGUAGCAGUGAAAUGCGUAGAGAUGUGGAGGAAUACCGAUGGCGAAGGCAGCCCCCUGGCCAAGUACUGACGCUCAUGCACGAAAGCGUGGGGAGCAAACAGGAUUAGAUACCCUGGUAGUCCACGCCCUAAACGAUGUCAACUAGUUGUUGGGGAUUCAUUUCCUUAGUAACGUAGCUAACGCGUGAAGUUGACCGCCUGGGGAGUACGGUCGCAAGAUUAAACUUAAAUGAAUUGACGGGGUCAUAGCUG